This 399-nucleotide ribosomal RNA is filed under the name uncultured bacterium. RNAcentral describes it as "bacterial SSU rRNA". It matches the Rfam family "Bacterial small subunit ribosomal RNA", at positions 355 to 771 of the family's 1533-position model. The record is from RNAcentral.
UGGGGAAUAUUGGACAAUGGGGGCAACCCUGAUCCAGCCAUGCCGCGUGAGUGAUGAAGGCCUUCGGGUUGUAAAGCUCUUUUGGCGGGGACGAUGAUGACGGUACCCGCAGAAUAAGCCCCGGCUAACUUCGUGCCAGCAGCCGCGGUAAGACGAAGGGGGCAAGCGUUGUUCGGAAUUACUGGGCGUAAAGGGCGCGUAGGCUGUUUGCUUAGUCAGGCGUGAAAGCCCUGGGCUUAACCUGGGAUGUGCGCUUGAUACUGGCAGGCUUGAGUGUGGGAGAGGUCGGUGGAAUUCCUAGUGUAGAGGUGAAAUUCGUAGAUAUUGGGAAGAGCACCGGUGGCGAAGGCGGCCAACUGGACCACAACUGACGCUGAGGCGCGAAAGCGUGGGGAGCAA